CCUACGGGAGGCAGCAGUGGGGAAUAUUGGACAAUGGGCGAAAGCCUGAUCCAGCCAUGCCGCGUGUGUGAAGAAGGUCUUCGGAUUGUAAAGCACUUUAAGUUGGGAGGAAGGGCAGUAAGUUAAUACCUUGCUGUUUUGACGUUACCGACAGAAUAAGCACCGGCUAACUCUGUGCCAGCAGCCGCGGUAAU
Molecule: ribosomal RNA, 194 nt
Filed under: Pseudomonas putida
Lineage: Bacteria; Pseudomonadati; Pseudomonadota; Gammaproteobacteria; Pseudomonadales; Pseudomonadaceae
Also listed under: 4 other names
Description: partial 16S rRNA
Rfam family: Bacterial small subunit ribosomal RNA
Source: RNAcentral